Molecule: small nucleolar RNA, 107 nt
Rfam family: Plant small nucleolar RNA R71
About the family: R71 is a member of the C/D box family of snoRNAs containing the C (UGAUGA) and D (CUGA) box motifs. Multiple nearly identical copies of this snoRNA have been identified in Arabidopsis, and it is thought to function as a 2'-O-ribose methylation guide for 18S ribosomal RNA.
Source: Rfam
AUGCCAUGAUGAGGACACCUUCUGAGCAGUUCUUUGAAUUUUUUCCAAUCCUCAUACAAACUCUCAUCUUCAAGUUAAUAGAAAGAAGUAAUCUCAUUCCGUAAUUU